Propionibacterium freudenreichii subsp. shermanii CIRM-BIA1 is the source of this 73-nucleotide transfer RNA. It matches the Rfam family "tRNA". Rfam says of the family: Transfer RNA (tRNA) molecules are approximately 80 nucleotides in length. Their secondary structure includes four short double-helical elements and three loops (D, anti-codon, and T loops). NCBI's taxonomy places the organism in Bacteria, Bacillati, Actinomycetota, Actinomycetes, Propionibacteriales, Propionibacteriaceae. The record is from Rfam.
GCGCUGCUAGCUCAACUGGCAGAGCAUCUGACUCUUAAUCAGAGGGUUCAGGGUUCGAGUCCCUGGCGGCGCA